GCUAAUUUAUUUGGAACUCAUUCUUUAUGAGAGUUCUCUAGAAAAAGGCAUUCUUCUCAGAAAAGAAGUUCUCUCGGAGGAAAAACUCUCUUAGGAGAAGAAAUUCUCUCGAAUGAGUCAAUGUGGAAGUUCUCCCGAGCAAAGUAACAAGAAGUUCUCUUGGUGAGGUAUCCAGCAUGUCAUAUUACACUCAGUUGAGCCAUUUUUCUCCUAAACAACUUUCUCCUAUGUUGUCCUAGACAACGUAGUCUGCUUGAAAUAUGCUCUCCUUCCUUCGAAAAACCAUUUCUCUGCCUAAGAAAGAGGGUGGCGAUUCUCACUAAGCCCUUUUCCAAGUUAAACCCCUAGACAACAUCGUGUAAUCACCAAGACAACACCAUGUCCCCAUACACGCAUGUCAUGUGUCCCAAUCACUGUCCCAAGGGUAUAAAUACCCCCGACCCUUCGUCUUUGGGAUCAUUUUUCUGACCUUUGGACUUCUAGCACUAGUAGAACUAUAGUUCUCUCAAACAACUCAAAAUCAUAUAUCUACACGUACAUUUUCUUUACAUCUAGACAACACCAUGAUCAUUUUUAACUUAAGGAUUGGAGGGCCUAUAUGAAAAAAAAUCUCUGCGUGUCUUUUGACCAACUCCCGACUUACAGAAGCUUUCCUCGGGAACACAUCAACUCUCUUAUACCACUUUAUCCCAAACAAACAUUAACUAUCUCAGACAACAAAUCAAACUUCUUUCGAACAACUUUAGCUCUUCUCUCAAUCUUCUCUCGAGCAAUCUUGUUUUGUGUUUGACUUUGUCAUGAUCGAUUCUCUCUAAUAAUACAAAUUUUAAUUAUUAUAUUUCAAGUAACAAUAAUAUCAAAAGUCAAUUCAACAUGAGAUAUAAUUAAAUAUUUUUAAGAUUAGUUUGAAUUAAAUUAAAUUAUAAAAUUUUAUUUUUAAAAAAUAUGUUAAAAAACAAAAGAAAGCUGUUAGAUAAAUAAAAAAAUUACCUAUAAUUAGUAAUGUUGGACCAUUUUUUGUUCCUUAAAUUAUAAUUCUCCUUCUUUCCAUACAAGAAAGCCUUCCUUCUUCCUUCCGCCAAGCCCCAAUCAAACUGCCCCUGCGUACAGAGAAGAGUGGAGCUGCGAGCCGCGAACGAUGAACGUAGCUCAUAUUCCUUUUCAAUGACGCCGAUGGCUUCGGCGUCUCGAUCUUACGCGCCCUUCAGCCAAGCCCUAUUUCAUCUCUUCGAAGACUGUUAAAUUUAAUCUCUACGCGAGAGGAAUCGUUUGAGCUGCCUCUGGAGCGGUACGAUAUCAGAGAUCGCAAAGCGUCCGGCGAUAUCGUUCACUUCGUCGACCACGAUGGCCAUUGUCAGGUGUCUUCUUUUGUAAUUCGAUUGCCAAACUCAAUUUUUGGGUGGACUCUGUCGCCUCUGAUUGUAAUCUCCGUGUCAAGUGAUUUCGACGAUUACUCUUUCAGUGUUGCUUGAGUUUUUAGCAGAGAUGCAUGUAUUAAAUGAUUUGACUCUGUGGUGCUUGUUUGAAUAAUGUAAUUGUGACAGUCCGACUCUCUUGUAGCCAGUAAAUGGGGAAGAGUUUUGUAUUGCUACACUACACAGAUCACAUGUUCUUUUUUGGAUAUGUGGAGGAAAAUGGAAAGCUGGGAAAUAGUAAAUGAAGAUAUUUUUUAUUUUAUUUUUUUCUUGUCUGUUGUUUUGGUUGUUAACACAAGGUGGGAAUGGGAGAAGGGCUUCUAAUUGUUGUUGGUUGCAAAGGAAGAAAUAUGAAUAGCUCAUAGGAAUUUUUUAAAACAAAGCUGGACACGACUGAAUAUAAGUUCAUUGGAUGCAUGUCGCGUGGCAAAGAAGGUGUAGUAUUAUAGUGCAGGAAUGGCAUAUUUGCUUGGAAUUGUUGAAACCAUAA
Molecule: RNA transcript, 1905 nt
Organism: Diospyros lotus (date-plum)
Lineage: Eukaryota; Viridiplantae; Streptophyta; Magnoliopsida; Ericales; Ebenaceae
Exons: 2
Source: RefSeq, a predicted model, not a curated record